This 253-nucleotide ribosomal RNA is filed under the name uncultured bacterium. RNAcentral describes it as "partial 16S ribosomal RNA". It matches the Rfam family "Bacterial small subunit ribosomal RNA", at positions 524 to 776 of the family's 1533-position model. The record is from RNAcentral.
UACGAAGGGGGCCAGCGUUGCUCGGAAUCACUGGGCGUAAAGGGUGCGUAGGCGGGUCCUUAAGUCAGGGGUGAAAUCCUGGAGCUCAACUCCAGAACUGCCUUUGAUACUGAGGAUCUUGAGUUCGGGAGAGGUGAGUGGAACUGCGAGUGUAGAGGUGAAAUUCGUAGAUAUUGGGAAGAACACCAGUGGCGAAGGCGGCUCACUGGCCCGUAACUGACGCUGAGGUGCGAAAGCGUGGGGAGCAAACAGG